This 394-nucleotide ribosomal RNA is filed under the name uncultured Chrysophyceae. RNAcentral's name for it is "partial small subunit ribosomal RNA". It matches the Rfam family "Eukaryotic small subunit ribosomal RNA", at positions 30 to 432 of the family's 1831-position model. Lineage: Eukaryota; Chrysophyceae. The record is from RNAcentral.
GCUUGUCUCAAAGAUUAAGCCAUGCAUGUCUAAGUAUAAGCAAAUUUAUACGUGAAACUGCGAAUGGCUCAUUAUAUCAGUUAUAGUUUCUUUGAUGGUCCUUGCUACUUGGAUAACCGUAGUAACUCUAGAGCUAAUACAUGCAUCAAUCCCCGACUUCCUGGAAGGGGUGUACUUAUUAGAUGGAAACCAAUGCGGGGCAACCCGGAUUCUGGUGAUUCAUAAUAAUUAUCGGAUCGAUCGUAUGAUCGAUGCAUCAUUCAAGUUUCUGCCCUAUCAGCUUUGGAUGGUAGGGUAUUGGCCUACCAUGGCAUUAACGGGUAACGGAGAAUUAGGGUUCGAUUCCGGAGAGGGAGCCUGAGAAAUGGCUACCACAUCCAAGGAAGGCAGCAGG